CGAACGGGUGAGUAACGCGUGAGGAACCUGCCUCAAAGAGGGGGACAACAGUUGGAAACAACUGCUAAUACCGCAUAAGCCCACGGGUCGGCAUCGAUCUGAGGGAAAAGGAGUGAUCCGCUUUGAGAUGGCCUCGCGUCCGAUUAGCUAGUUGGUGAGGUAACGGCCCACCAAGGCGACGAUCGGUAGCCGGACUGAGAGGUUGAACGGCCACAUUGGGACUGAGACACGGCCCAG
This 237-nucleotide ribosomal RNA is filed under the name uncultured bacterium. RNAcentral's name for it is "partial 16S ribosomal RNA". It matches the Rfam family "Bacterial small subunit ribosomal RNA", at positions 99 to 334 of the family's 1533-position model. The record is from RNAcentral.